GAAUAUUGGACAAUGGGGGCAACCCUGAUCCAGCAAUGCCGCGUGUGUGAAGAAGGUCUUCGGAUCGUAAAGCACUUUCGACAGGGACGAUGAUGACGGUACCUGUAGAAGACGCCCCCGCUAACUUCGUGCCAGCAUCCGCGGUAAUACGAAGGGGGCUAGCGUUGCUCGGAAUUACUGGGCGUAAAGGGCGCGUAGGCGGCUUGGCCAGUCAGGCGUGAAAUUCCUGGGCUUAACCUGGGGACUGCGCUUGAUACUGCCAGGCUUGAGGCCGAGAGAGGGUGGUGGAAUUCCCAGUGUAGAGGUGAAAUUCGUAGAUAUUGGGAAGAACACCGGUGGCGAAGGCGACCACCUGGCUCGGUACUGACGCUGAGGCGCGACAGCGUGGGGAGCAAACAGG
This 400-nucleotide ribosomal RNA is filed under the name uncultured bacterium. RNAcentral describes it as "bacterial SSU rRNA". It matches the Rfam family "Bacterial small subunit ribosomal RNA", at positions 359 to 776 of the family's 1533-position model. The record is from RNAcentral.